This 425-nucleotide ribosomal RNA is filed under the name uncultured bacterium. RNAcentral's name for it is "bacterial SSU rRNA". It matches the Rfam family "Bacterial small subunit ribosomal RNA", at positions 355 to 772 of the family's 1533-position model. The record is from RNAcentral.
UGGGGAAUUUUGGACAAUGGGCGCAAGCCUGAUCCAGCCAUGCCGCGUGCGGGAAGAAGGCCUUCGGGUUGUAAACCGCUUUUGUCAGGGACGAAACGCUCCGAGCUAAUACCCCGGAGUAAUGACGGUACCUGACGACUAAGCACCGGCUAACUACGUGCCCGCAGCCGCGGUAAUACGUAGGGUGCAAGCGUUAAUCGGAAUUACUGGGCGUAAAGCGUGCGCAGGCGGUUUGUUAAGACAGAUGUGAAAUCCCCGGGCUUAACCUGGGAACUGCGUUUGUAACUGGCAGACUGGAGUGUGGCAGAGGGGGGUGGAAUUCCAAGUGUAGCAGUGAAAUGCGUAGAUAUUUGGAGGAACACCGAUGGCGAAGGCAGCCCCCUGGGCUAACACUGACGCUCAUGCACGAAAGCGUGGGGAGCAAA